AACGAACGCUGGCGGCAGGCUUAACACAUGCAAGUCGAACGCCCCGCAAGGGGAGUGGCAGACGGGUGAGUAACGCGUGGGAAUCUACCCAGAUCUUCGGAACAACUGAGGGAAACUUCAGCUAAUACCGGAUACGCCCUACGGGGGAAAGAUUUAUCGGAUUUGGAUGAGCCCGCGUUGGAUUAGCUAGUUGGUGGGGUAAUGGCCUACCAAGGCGACGAUCCAUAGCUGGUCUGAGAGGAUGAUCAGCCACACUGGGACUGAGACACGGCCCAGACUCCUACGGGAGGCAGCAGUGGGGAAUAUUGGACAAUGGGCGAAAGCCUGAUCCAGCCAUGCCGCGUGAGUGAUGAAGGCCUUAGGGUUGUAAAGCUCUUUCAGUAGGGAAGAUAAAUGACGGUACCUACAGAAGAAGCCCCGGCUAACUUCGUG
RNAcentral lists this ribosomal RNA (432 nucleotides) under uncultured bacterium. Its description in RNAcentral is "bacterial SSU rRNA". It matches the Rfam family "Bacterial small subunit ribosomal RNA", at positions 29 to 507 of the family's 1533-position model. The record is from RNAcentral.